Oncorhynchus kisutch (coho salmon) is the source of this 1554-nucleotide long non-coding RNA. Lineage: Eukaryota; Metazoa; Chordata; Actinopteri; Salmoniformes; Salmonidae. The record is from Ensembl.
GUGGGUUUAAGAAAAUUGUUGGAAGGCAUAGCAUAUUUGGGGUAACAUAAACCUAUAGCAAUAUGAUUUUACUAGGAUACUGCCUCACUUUUAAUAAUAGUUUUCACUCUAUAAGCCAAUAUGUAAUUUAUAGGCUAUAGUGUAUUGCAUUGUAACCAAUGGUGUGGGUAGAGUAGAACGUGUGGCUGGGCAUAUAGACCCAAAUCCCCCAUGAAAUAACACCAUAUAUAGAUUCUACAGAUACCAGUGAAGAGUCCUAAUCCCACUUUUACUUCGGCACGUAGAAUAGUUCUCUAUAAACCAAUAUGUAUUUCAUAUACAGUGUUGCAUUGGGGGCAUUUAUUUGACCUUGUUUUAAAACCCAAAUGAAAUGACUUAAUUAUGAACACAUGAGUUAUUCUUGAUUAUUGUUUAGACAAUUAUUGGCCAUAUAUCAUGAAUAAGUACAGGUUACGGGCUCUUUUAUACUAUUACGUGGGGAACUUUUAUUUAUUUGGAAUAUUUUCGAAAUUCCGUGACCCAGAAGUACUUUUUUAGUGUUGCGGACACUUUCUUUUGGAUUAGCAAAUUGUAGCUACACCAACAACAGAAAUACAACAAUUCAUAAAUGUAUUGAGCAACAAACAUCUUCAUACGGAUUAUAACUACCAGUUCAAUCAAACAUAAAACGCAGACCGCAAUUUGUGACUGGAUUAAGGCGAAUUAAGGACGAAGAGAGACAAAUAUAGCUACUAGCUAACGUAGCGUCAGCCUGUUAACGCAAAGGCUAAGCAGCAAACUGACAUGAAUUCUCUCGUCGGCUAUGGCGUGUCCUCUGAUUCUGACAGCGAUGGGGAUAUUGUAAACAACAAGAAGACUGAGAGCAAGGUGGAUGGAGAGACCCAGAAGAAGGGCCGCAAUUUCCUCCUAGAGUCCGGGUCAGCCUCCAGUGAGUCGGACUGUGACUCCAACCCAGAGGAAGAGGUGAACCCCAUAUCCCAACUACAACCAAAACGCCCUUCCUGUAUGGGACCCCCCUCAGAGUCCCGGACCCCUCUCCUCCCCGCACCCACUAGCUCCCUCUCCCACAAACUCCCCCCUCCCCCCCUCGGGGCCUAUUCCAAGAGUGGCGUAUUCGCCAACCCCUUCAAGGCUCAAGCCGACCAAAAGCUCAACGUCUUGCAGAAGCAUGUCCCUCUCACAGUGCAGGCCCGGCCCUCCCAGAUAGGGGGCAAGAGGAUGUGUGUGGCGUACAGGAAGGACGGACGCUGCAGGUUCGGGAUUAAAUGCAAGUUUGCCCACGACAGCGAUCUCCAGAGCUCCAUCAUUCCCAAUGACUAUGACCCCCCUGAGGAUGACGCUCCCGGAUCGCAGCAAGCUGACCCCAACGCAGGAGGCUCUUCAUACAUGGGUCGCCAGAACUUUCAUCACAACCAGGGAGGAGACCCUGAAGAGGAGGAGGGUCAGCAGUCUAGGAAGAGGAGAGUAGGGCUGAGUAACACCCUAGUGCCUCCUAAAAGGGCGUUGAAGAAUUAUGCAAUGCAGAGGAAGAGAGAACAGGUCAAUUUGAACUGA